Molecule: ribosomal RNA, 420 nt
Filed under: bacterium
Lineage: Bacteria
Description: partial 16S ribosomal RNA
Rfam family: Bacterial small subunit ribosomal RNA
Source: RNAcentral
UGGGGGAUAUUGCACAAUGGGCGAAAGCCUGAUGCAGCGACGCCGCGUGGGGGAUGAAGGCUUUCGGGUUGUAAACCUCUUUCGCUAUCGAACAAGGCCCGCUUAGGGUGGGUUGAGGGUAGGUGGAGAAGAAGCGCCGGCUAACUACGUGCCAGCAGCCGCGGUAAUACGUAGGGCGCGAGCGUUGUCCGGAAUUAUUGGGCGUAAAGGGCUUGUAGGCGGCUUGUUGCGCCUGCUGUGAAAACGCGGGGCUUAACUUCGCGCGUGCAGUGGGUAAGGGGAGGCUUGAGUGUGGUAGGGGUGACUGGAAUUCCAGGUGUAGCGGUGGAAUGCGCAGAUAUCUGUGGGAGCACCGAUGGGGAAGGGAGGGCACUGGGCCAUUACUGACGCUGAGGAGCGAAAGCAUGGGUAGCGAACAGG